UCCAGCUGUUUUGGGACUACAAUUCCCAUCAUCCCUGACCACUGGUCCUGUUAGCUAGGGAUGAUGGGAGUUGUAGUCCCAAAAGAGCUGGA
Molecule: non-coding RNA, 92 nt
Organism: Podarcis lilfordi (Lilford's wall lizard)
Lineage: Eukaryota; Metazoa; Chordata; Lepidosauria; Squamata; Lacertidae
Source: the annotation of a GenBank genome assembly